CCUACGGCGGGCUGCAGUGGGGAAUAUUGGACAAUGGGCGAAAGCCUGAUCCAGCCAUGCCGCGUGUGUGAAGAAGGCCUUCGGGUUGUAAAGCACUUUCAGUGGGGAAGAAAGCCUUGGGGCUAAUACCCUCGAGGAAGGACAUCACCCACAGAAGAAGCACCGGCUAACUCCGUGCCAGCAGCCGCGGUAAUACGGAGGGUGCGAGCGUUAAUCGGAAUUACUGGGCGUAAAGCGCGCGUAGGCGGUCUGAUAAGCCGGUUGUGAAAGCCCCGGGCUCAACCUGGGAACGGCAUCCGGAACUGUCAGGCUAGAGUGCAGGAGAGGAAGGUAGAAUUCCCGGUGUAGCGGUGAAAUGCGUAGAGAUCGGGAGGAAUACCAGUGGCGAAGGCGGCCUUCUGGACUGACACUGACGCUGAGGUGCGAAAGCGUGGGUAGCAAACAGGAUUAGAUACCCCAGUAGUC
RNAcentral lists this ribosomal RNA (465 nucleotides) under Vreelandella stevensii. Its description in RNAcentral is "partial 16S ribosomal RNA". It matches the Rfam family "Bacterial small subunit ribosomal RNA", at positions 338 to 795 of the family's 1533-position model. Lineage: Bacteria; Pseudomonadati; Pseudomonadota; Gammaproteobacteria; Oceanospirillales; Halomonadaceae. The record is from RNAcentral.